RNAcentral lists this ribosomal RNA (253 nucleotides) under uncultured microorganism. Its description in RNAcentral is "partial 16S ribosomal RNA". It matches the Rfam family "Bacterial small subunit ribosomal RNA", at positions 524 to 776 of the family's 1533-position model. The record is from RNAcentral.
UACGGAGGGUGCGAGCGUUAUUCGGAUGUACUGGGCGUAAAGCGUGCGCAGGCGGCCCGUUAAGACAGGUGUGAAAUCCCUGGGCUCAACCUAGGAAUUGCGCUUGUGACUGGCGGGCUCGAGUACGGUAGAGGGGGGUGGAAUUCCUGGUGUAGCAGUGAAAUGCGUAGAGAUCAGGAGGAACACCGAUGGCGAAGGCAGCCCCCUGGGCCUGUACUGACGCUCAUGCACGAAAGCGUGGGGAGCAAACAGG